GCCUACCAAGACUUUGAUCAAUAGCUGAUUUGAGAGGAUGAUCAGCCACAUUGGGACUGAGACACGGCCCAAACUCCUACGGGAGGCAGCAGUAGGGAAUCUUGCACAAUGGAGGAAACUCUGAUGCAGCGAUGCCGCGUGAGUGAAGAAGGCCCUUGGGUUGUAAAGCUCUUUCGUCGGGGAAGAAAAUGACUGUACCCGAAUAAGAAGGUCCGGCUAACUUCGUGCCAGCAGCCGCGGUAAUACGAAGGGACCUAGCGUAGUUCGGAAUUACUGGGCUUAAAGAGUUCGUAGGUGGUUAAAAAAGUUGGUGGUGAAAGCCCAGAGCUUAACUCUGGAACUGCCAUCAAAACUUUUUAGCUAGAGUAUGAUAGAGGAAAGCAGAAUUUCUAGUGUAGAGGUGAAAUUCGUAGAUAUUAGAAAGAAUACCAAUUGCGAAGGCAGCUUUCUGGAUCAUUACUGACACUGAGGAACGAAAGCAUGGGUAGCGAAGAGGAUUAGAUACCCUCGUAGUCCAUGCCGUAAACGAUGUGUGUUAGAUGUUGGAAAUUUAUUUUCAGUAUCGCAGCGAAAGCGAUAAACACACCGCCUGGGGAGUACGACCGCAAGGUUAAAACUCAAAUGAAUUGACGGGGACCCGCACAAGUAGUGGAGCAUGUGGUUUAAUUCGAAGAUACGCGCAGAACCUUACCAACACUUGACAUGUUCGUCGCGACUUUAAGAGAUUAAAGUUUUCGGUUCGGCCGGACGAAACACAGGUGCUGCAUGGCUGUCGUCAGCUCGUGUCGUGAGAUGUUGGGUUAAGUCCCGCAACGAGCGCAACCCUUACUUUUAGUUGCCAUCAUUUAGUUGGGCACUCUGAAAGAACUGCCAGUGAUAAGCUGGAGGAAGGUGGGGAUGACGUCAAGUCCUCAUGGCCCUUACGUGUUGGGCUACACACGUGCUACAAUGGCAUUUACAAUAGGAAGCAAGACGGCGACGUUAAGCAAAUCCUAAAAAAAUGCCUCAGUUCGGAUUGUACUCUGCAACUCGAGUACAUGAAGCUGGAAUUACUAGUAAUCGCGGAUCAGCGCGCCGCGGUGAAUGCGUUCCCGGGUCUUGUACACACCGCCCGUCACAUCCAUGGGAGUUGGUUCUACCUAAGGCAAA
Molecule: ribosomal RNA, 1149 nt
Filed under: uncultured Pelagibacterales bacterium
Lineage: Bacteria; Pseudomonadati; Pseudomonadota; Alphaproteobacteria; Candidatus Pelagibacterales
Description: bacterial SSU rRNA
Rfam family: Bacterial small subunit ribosomal RNA
Source: RNAcentral